GGUUAAGCGAAUAAGCGUACACGGUGGAUGCCUAGGCAAUCAGAGGCGAUGAAGGACGUGCUAAUCUGCGAAAAGCGUCGGUAAGGUGAUAUGAACCGUUAUACCCGACGAUAUCCGAAUGGGGAAACCCAGUAUCCAAUGGAUACUAUCAUUAACUGAAUCCAUAGGUUAAUGAGGCGAACCGGGAGAACUGAAACAUCUCAGUACCCCGAGGAAAAGAAAUCAACCGAGAUUCCCCUAGUAGCGGCGAGCGAACGGGGAGCAGCCCAGAGUCUUAAUCAAUAACAGUGUCAGGAGAACGGUCUGGAAAGUCCGGCAGUAAAGGGUGAUAGCCCCGUAUCUGAAGAUGCUGUUAUUGUGAACUCGACGAGUAGGGCGGGACACGUGUUAUCCUGUCUGAAUAUGGGGGGACCAUCCUCCAAGGCUAAAUACUCCUGAUUGACCGAUAGUGAACCAGUACCGUGAGGGAAAGGCGAAAAGAACCCCGGCGAGGGGAGUGAAAAAGAACCUGAAACCGUGUACGUACAAGCAGUAGGAGCCUCUUUAUGGGGUGACUGCGUACCUUUUGUAUAAUGGGUCAGCGACUUAUAUUCUGUAGCAAGGUUAACCGUAUAGGGGAGCCGUAGGGAAACCGAGUCUUAACUGGGCGAAUGAGUUGCAGGGUAUAGACCCGAAACCCGGUGAUCUAUCCAUGGGCAGGUUGAAGGUUGGGUAACACUAACUGGAGGACCGAACCGACUAAUGUUGAAAAAUUAGCGGAUGACUUGUGGAUGGGGGUGAAAGGCCAAUCAAACCGGGAGAUAGCUGGUUCUCCCCGAAAGCUAUUUAGGUAGCGCCUCGUGAA
Molecule: ribosomal RNA, 844 nt
Filed under: Proteus mirabilis
Lineage: Bacteria; Pseudomonadati; Pseudomonadota; Gammaproteobacteria; Enterobacterales; Morganellaceae
Description: partial 23S ribosomal RNA
Rfam family: Bacterial large subunit ribosomal RNA
Source: RNAcentral